UACGGAGGGUGCGAGCGUUAAUCGGAAUUACUGGGCGUAAAGGGCGCGUAGGCGGCCUGCUAAGUCGAACGUGAAAUCCCUGGGCUCAACCCAGGAACUGCGUCCGAUACUGGUUGGCUUGAAUCCGGGAGAGGGAUGUGGAAUUCCAGGUGUAGCGGUGAAAUGCGUAGAUAUCUGGAGGAACACCGGUGGCGAAGGCGACAUCCUGGACCGGUAUUGACGCUGAGGCGCGAAAGCCAGGGGAGCAAACGGG
This 253-nucleotide ribosomal RNA is filed under the name uncultured bacterium. Its description in RNAcentral is "partial 16S ribosomal RNA". It matches the Rfam family "Bacterial small subunit ribosomal RNA", at positions 524 to 776 of the family's 1533-position model. The record is from RNAcentral.